UGGGGAAUUUUGGACAAUGGGCGAAAGCCUGAUCCAGCAAUGCCGCGUGUGUGAAGAAGGCCUUCGGGUUGUAAAGCACUUUUGUCCGGAAAGAAAUGGCUCUGGUUAAUACCUGGGGUCGAUGACGGUACCGGAAGAAUAAGGACCGGCUAACUACGUGCCAGCAGCCGCGGUAAUACGUAGGGUCCAAGCGUUAAUCGGAAUUACUGGGCGUAAAGCGUGCGCAGGCGGUUGUGCAAGACCGAUGUGAAAUCCCCGAGCUUAACUUGGGAAUUGCAUUGGUGACUGCACGGCUAGAGUGUGUCAGAGGGGGGUAGAAUUCCACGUGUAGCAGUGAAAUGCGUAGAGAUGUGGAGGAAUACCGAUGGCGAAGGCAGCCCCCUGGGAUAACACUGACGCUCAUGCACGAAAGCGUGGGGAGCAAACAGGAUUAGAUACCCUGGUAGUCCACGCCCUAAACGAUGUCAACUAGUUGUUGGGGAUUCAUUUCCUUAGUAACGUAGCUAACGCGUGAAGUUUGACCGCCUGGGGAGUACGGUCGC
This 542-nucleotide ribosomal RNA is filed under the name uncultured bacterium. Its description in RNAcentral is "partial 16S ribosomal RNA". It matches the Rfam family "Bacterial small subunit ribosomal RNA", at positions 355 to 889 of the family's 1533-position model. The record is from RNAcentral.